This 253-nucleotide ribosomal RNA is filed under the name uncultured bacterium. RNAcentral describes it as "partial 16S ribosomal RNA". It matches the Rfam family "Bacterial small subunit ribosomal RNA", at positions 524 to 776 of the family's 1533-position model. The record is from RNAcentral.
UACGGGGGGGGCAAGCGUUGUUCGGAAUUACUGGGCGUAAAGGGCUCGUAGGUGGCCAACUAAGUCAGACGUGAAAUCCCCAGGCUCAACCUGGGAACUGCGUCUGAUACUGGAUGGCUUGAAUUCGGGAGAGGGAUGCAGAAUUCCAGGUGUAACGGUGAAAUGCGUAGAUAUCUGGAGGAAUACCGGUGGCGAAGGCGGCAUCCGGGACCGAUAUUGACACUGAGGAGCGAAAGCUAGGGGAGCAAACGGG